This 525-nucleotide ribosomal RNA is filed under the name uncultured Glomeraceae. RNAcentral's name for it is "SSU rRNA". It matches the Rfam family "Eukaryotic small subunit ribosomal RNA", at positions 548 to 1076 of the family's 1831-position model. Lineage: Eukaryota; Fungi; Glomeromycota; Glomeromycetes; Glomerales; Glomeraceae. The record is from RNAcentral.
UUGGAGGGCAAGUCUGGUGCCAGCAGCCGCGGUAAUUCCAGCUCCAAUAGCGUAUAUUAAAGUUGUUGCAGUUAAAAAGCUCGUAGUUGAAUUUCGGGAUCAAUGGGUUGGUCAUGCCCUCGGUAUGUACUGAUUUCAUUGGUUCUCACCUUCUAAGGAACCAUGAUGUCAUUUAUUUGAUGUUGUGGGAAAUUAGGACUGUUACCUUGAAAAAUUAGAGUGUUUAAAGCAGGCUAACGCUUGAAUACAUUAGCAUGGAAUAAUGAAAUAGGACAUCCGAUUCUAUUUUGUUGGUUUCUAGGAUCGAUGUAAUGAUUAAUAGGGAUAGUUGGGGGCAUUAGUAUUCAAUUGUCAGAGGUGAAAUUCUUGGAUUUAUUGAAGACUAACUACUGCGAAAGCAUUUGCCAAGGAUGUUUUCAUUAAUCAAGAACGAAAGUUAGGGGAUCGAAGACGAUCAGAUACCGUCGUAGUCUUAACCAUAAACUAUGCCGACUAGGGAUCGGAUGAUGCUUAUUUUUAAUGACU